AACGAACGCUGGCGGCAUGCCUAACACAUGCAAGUCGAACGAGACCUUCGGGGCUAGUGGCGCACGGGUGCGUAACGCGUGGGAACCUGCCCUUAGGUUCGGAAUAACUCCCCGAAAGGGGUGCUAAUACCGGAUAAUGUCUUCGGACCAAAGAUUUAUCGCCUUUGGAUGGGCCCGCGUUGGAUUAGCUAGUUGGUAGGGUAAAAGCCUACCAAGGCGACGAUCCAUAGCUGGUCUGAGAGGAUGAUCAGCCACACUGGGACUGAGACACGGCCCAGACUCCUACGGGAGGCAGCAGUGGGGAAUAUUGGACAAUGGGCGAAAGCCUGAUCCAGCAAUGCCGCGUGAGUGAUGAGGGCAUUAGGGUUGUAAAGCUCUUUUACCCGGGAUGAUAAUGACAGUACCGGGAGAAUAAGCUCCGGCUAACUCCGUG
RNAcentral lists this ribosomal RNA (433 nucleotides) under uncultured bacterium. RNAcentral's name for it is "partial 16S ribosomal RNA". It matches the Rfam family "Bacterial small subunit ribosomal RNA", at positions 29 to 507 of the family's 1533-position model. The record is from RNAcentral.